AUUGAACGCUGGCGGCAGGCCUAACACAUGCAAGUCGAGCGGAUGACGGGAGCUUGCUCCUUGAUUCAGCGGCGGACGGGUGAGUAAUGCCUAGGAAUCUGCCUGGUAGUGAGGGACAACGUUUCGAAAGGAACGCUAAUACCGCAUACGUCCUACGGGAGAAAGCAGGGGACCUUCGGGCCUUGCGCUAUCAGAUGAGCCUAGGUCGGAUUAGCUAGUAGGUGAGGUAAUGGCUCACCUAGGCGACGAUCCGUAACUGGUCUGAGAGGAUGAUCAGUCACACUGGAACUGAGACACGGUCCAGACUCCUACGGGAGGCAGCAGUGGGGAAUAUUGGACAAUGGGCGAAAGCCUGAUUCAGCCAUGCCGCGUGUGUGAAGAAGGUCUUCGGAUUGUAAAGCACUUUAAGUCGGGAGGAAGGGUUGUACGUUAAUACCGUGCAAUUUUGACGUUACCGACAGAAUAAGCACCGGCUAACUCUGUGCCAGCCGCCGCAGUAA
Molecule: ribosomal RNA, 500 nt
Filed under: uncultured bacterium
Lineage: Bacteria
Description: partial 16S ribosomal RNA
Rfam family: Bacterial small subunit ribosomal RNA
Source: RNAcentral